GAUGAAGUCACAGUAGGCACUACGUUUCUGUUGUACAGAUAGAUGACUUGCUUUCGUUUUAUUAGUUAAAACAUACAAUACAAACAAUCCUAAGCGGUAGCUCUCAUAACUAUAGCCUCCAAAUUUGACACUUGUCAAUUCAGUGUUCAUGCUAGGAGUAGUUCUGUGACAUGGUAUAUU
Molecule: long non-coding RNA, 180 nt
Organism: Bradysia coprophila
Lineage: Eukaryota; Metazoa; Arthropoda; Insecta; Diptera; Sciaridae
Source: RefSeq, a predicted model, not a curated record